AGCAUUCUAGUUGUCAGUGGACGUGUGGCAGUGAAAUGGGAUGAAUGCUGCAUAUCUGCCAGACUACUAUCAGCACCGUCAUAGGUUAUAAGUUGUUUCGGCGAAGUACAACUUCCACAAAAUGUGAAAGGUUUCCAUUUCGAUGACAGCUGUGUCCAGUCUGGUCAGAUUUAUGUGCAACUGAUGUUGCCAAACAAGACCAAAAAUCUGUUCCAAGAUCGUUGGCGGUAGGCAAAAGAGAAGACAGCAGUUGUGAAAAUUCUCCAUAACCGUCAUCAAAAAAUAUUUAGAGCAUGGAGCGCGGUUAAGCGCUGCAGGUCAAGACGUGUGCGCCUCUAGGACGGAACACCGUCGUUGUCACUUUAAUCUACAGAUAUCCGAAGAACUUGUGUUCCAACCUGCAAGCUUCUCCUUAUAAGCGGUCCGUGACUGCUUAUUCAUUAUUCCCACACUACAUUUUAUGUAUGGACACACGACACUGAUUUCUCUGUGGGGCUAUACUCCAUAUUGGAACAUUUCUGAACAGAACGGCAGUUUACGACAACAGCAGGAUGGACGCAGUCAAUGAAGAGUCAGACCCGUCUUCCUACUACCUGGCGCUUUACGGGCUCAUCUCCUUCCUUCUCGUCAUGCUGAUCGUAAUGUUGCUGUAUGUGGCUUGCUCCAAGAAGUACAGACUCAACUGGUUCGAGAAGAAUCUCCUAGAAGCUGCGGAGACAACGCAGAUGAGACACAGCCAGGAGGCGCUGGUGGGUGUCAGUGGAGUAGGGGCUGGUGAGGA
This is a non-coding RNA of Zootermopsis nevadensis, 781 nucleotides long. Lineage: Eukaryota; Metazoa; Arthropoda; Insecta; Blattodea; Termopsidae. The record is from RefSeq and is a predicted model, not a curated record.